AAUGACCUGAUGGAUGAGACUCCUAACUGCAGAUCACAGCUUUCUCUAUUGUGCAGCAAGGAUAAGCUACUUCCAUAUGUUGGAGGAAGAGGUACAUAAAGGAGCCACUCAUUUCAUUUUUAACAAAGUGGGAUUACACUGAAGGAAGACAUUCUUUGGAUUGUUAAAAGCUUCUAAAAUACAGAACAGAAAACACUAAGAAAAAGAGAUGAAGCUCUCAGUUGGACAUAUAGUUAGGUGAGUAUGUUUGGGGCAUGUAAAAGCAGAAGAAAAAUGGAGUGCAACAGACUUAAAACCACACCCACAAACAUAAAAAGGAAAAAGAAAAGUAAAAUAAACUGUUGAGGAGUAAUUAUGACCUGCUAAUC
Molecule: long non-coding RNA, 368 nt
Filed under: Cyanistes caeruleus (blue tit)
Lineage: Eukaryota; Metazoa; Chordata; Aves; Passeriformes; Paridae
Description: lncRNA (ENSCCEG00000011624.1)
Source: RNAcentral